RNAcentral lists this non-coding RNA (78 nucleotides) under Azospirillum brasilense. Lineage: Bacteria; Pseudomonadati; Pseudomonadota; Alphaproteobacteria; Rhodospirillales; Azospirillaceae. The record is from RNAcentral.
UUGAGCCGUAUGCGGGGCCAACCCGCCCGUACGGUUCUGAGGGGAGGAGAUUACAGCAAUGCGAUCUCCUUACCCGAC